Lagopus leucura (white-tailed ptarmigan) is the source of this 205-nucleotide long non-coding RNA. RefSeq lists it as uncharacterized. Lineage: Eukaryota; Metazoa; Chordata; Aves; Galliformes; Phasianidae. The record is from RefSeq and is a predicted model, not a curated record. The transcript is spliced from 3 exons.
AUCUGAAAAAAAGCCAGGAACGUUUCAGAAGUGCUCUGGUUAACAUUAUAUUGCAGGAAGAUGUUACUGAAGAAGCCCUUAAUGAAUCCCAGUCUCCAAGAGCAGAUUCCUCUACAGCAAUAGAGAAGGAUAUUGUGAAAUACUACUAUUACAUUCGCCAUGGAAUUGAUACAGCAAAUGUAGCCCCACUGAAUGAAGCCUGGUU